This 1486-nucleotide ribosomal RNA is filed under the name Paenibacillus wulumuqiensis. Its description in RNAcentral is "bacterial LSU rRNA". It matches the Rfam family "Bacterial large subunit ribosomal RNA", at positions 1436 to 2925 of the family's 2925-position model. The record is from RNAcentral. Lineage: Bacteria; Bacillati; Bacillota; Bacilli; Caryophanales; Paenibacillaceae.
UUCCUGUACCACCGAAAGCCGUUAUGAGCAAUGGGGUGACGCAGGAGGGUAGUGACGCGGACUGAUGGAUGUCCGUCCAAGCAGUGAGGCUUGCAUGUAGGUAAAUCCGCAUGCUCCAAGGCCAGGCUGUGAUGGGGAGCGAAAAUUACAGUAGCGAAGGUCAUGAUCUCACACUGCCAAGAAAAGCCUCUAGCCAGGAAGCAGGUGCCCGUACCGCAAACCGACACAGGUGGGCGAGAAGAGAAUUCUAAGGCGCGCGGAAGAACUCUCGUUAAGGAACUCGGCAAAAUGACCCCGUAACUUCGGGAGAAGGGGUGCCCCGGUAGUGUGAAUAGCACGAGGGGGCCGCAGUGAAAAGGCCCAAGCGACUGUUUAGCAAAAACACAGGUCUGUGCGAAGCCGCAAGGCGAAGUAUACGGGCUGACGCCUGCCCGGUGCUGGAAGGUUAAGGGGAGUGGUUAGCGCAAGCGAAGCUAUGAACCGAAGCCCCAGUAAACGGCGGCCGUAACUAUAACGGUCCUAAGGUAGCGAAAUUCCUUGUCAGGUAAAUUCUGACCCGCACGAAUGGCGUAACGAUUUGGGCGCUGUCUCAACGAGAGAUCCGGUGAAAUUUUAAUACCUGUGAAGAUGCAGGUUACCCGCGACAAGACGGAAAGACCCCAUGGAGCUUUACUGCAGCUUGAUAUUGAACUGGGGUGCGAUUUGUACAGGAUAGGUGGGAGCCUACGAAGAGGGAGCGCAAGCUUCCUUGGAGGCGCCGUUGGGAUACCACCCUGAUCGCAUCUGAGUUCUAACCUGGUACCGUAAUCCGGUACAGGGACCGUGUCAGGUGGGCAGUUUGACUGGGGCGGUCGCCUCCUAAAAUGUAACGGAGGCGCCCUAAGGUUCCCUCAGAAUGGUUGGAAAUCAUUCGAAGAGUGUAAAGGCAUAAGGGAGCUUGACUGCGAGACCUACAAGUCGAGCAGGGACGAAAGUCGGGCUUAGUGAUCCGGUGGUACCGCAUGGAAGGGCCAUCGCUCAACGGAUAAAAGCUACCCUGGGGAUAACAGGCUUAUCUCCCCCAAGAGUCCACAUCGACGGGGAGGUUUGGCACCUCGAUGUCGGCUCAUCGCAUCCUGGGGCUGAAGUAGGUCCCAAGGGUUGGGCUGUUCGCCCAUUAAAGCGGUACGCGAGCUGGGUUCAGAACGUCGUGAGACAGUUCGGUCCCUAUCUGUCGUGGGCGUAGGAAAUUUGAGAGGAGCUGUCCUUAGUACGAGAGGACCGGGAUGGACGCACCGCUGGUGUACCAGUUGUUCCGCCAGGAGCAUCGCUGGGUAGCUACGUGCGGAAGGGAUAAGCGCUGAAAGCAUCUAAGCGUGAAGCCCCCCUCAAGAUGAGAUUUCCCAGUAUGUAAGACCCCUUGAAGACGACGAGGUAGAUAGGUUGGGGGUGGAAGUGCAGCAAUGCAUGGAGCUGACCAAUACUAAUCGGUCGAGGGCUUAUCCAA